This 830-nucleotide long non-coding RNA is filed under the name Ananas comosus (pineapple). RNAcentral's name for it is "long non-coding RNA (ACOM_LNC031817)". The record is from RNAcentral. Lineage: Eukaryota; Viridiplantae; Streptophyta; Magnoliopsida; Poales; Bromeliaceae.
AAUGACACUGGGCUUGGUGGUUGGUACUCGAGAUCCCAAGUUCGAAACUUAGUUGCUUCAUAUUUUUAGUUAAGUUUAAUUCUAAAAAAAAUAAAUAAAGUAUAUAGCAUUCUACCUUUUCUUUCAAAAAAAAAUAUUUGAUCUUUUGAUCUAUAAUAUCUGAAGUAUCAUCAUAUUUUAAGUAGACUCUCUAUCAUUGAAAAAGUAAAAAAAAUAUUAUUUUUAUUCUUUUUCAAUUAAUGACCAUAUGAGAAUCACAAAAUAUAAAGAAGUUCCUAACACUUAGGACAACAACAAUAAUAAUGAAAGACAAAUUUAUGAACCCCACCUCCAACAAUGGCGGUGAUGACAGAUAUAAACAAAAGCUAAGCUUUUUUUGUUUUGCUCUGCUGCAGCAAUACGAUUUUGAAAAAAAAGAGCUCAAUAAUCUCUCUACUUUAUAUAGUAUUCAUGUUAGUCAUCUCAAUUGAAAUUUGUAAUCCUUAAUUUUAUUAACGAAGGGACUUGGUUAAGAUAAAUUGAUAAAAAAAAAAAGUUAUGUAAAUUAAAAGAAUAAGGAGAUAUAUAGUUCAUAAUUGAAAUAGAAAUAAAAUAUAAAAUUGGAUUGCAUUGAAAUAAAAAUAAAAAAUAAAAUAACAAAUUAUAUAAAAAAUUUGAUUCAUUAUUAAAAUAAAAAUCGGACGGGAUAUUUCAGUUGAUUUAUGAAGGUAUUUGUGAGAGUAAUAUAUUUAGACGAGCCAAUCUAAGACUUACAGCCGAAUUGAGCCAUAAAUGAUCUGCAAAUCGAAAUUCGAUUUCUAUAAAACGAACAAUAACUAUCAGAAAUCAGU